This is a long non-coding RNA of Macrobrachium nipponense, 198 nucleotides long. RefSeq lists it as uncharacterized. Lineage: Eukaryota; Metazoa; Arthropoda; Malacostraca; Decapoda; Palaemonidae. The record is from RefSeq and is a predicted model, not a curated record. The transcript is spliced from 2 exons.
GUGGGAGAGAGAGGACGCACUGUGAUCGUCUCCGCGUUCAGUUUCUCGACAGGGGAAACGAAAACGUCUUUUGUAUCAAUUGGUGUUAAAAAAAGAAAUUCGUGAUUGGUUAAACUGGUCUACCUCCACUUAUCAGUGAUUGGAUAAAAGGAAUUUAUUUCUGUGAUUGGUUACAAAUAAAUGUCGUACGAUUGGUUA